CUGAUGAGUUGCUGCUGGUUCUCUAGGGAACAUGUGCACACUUGUCAUAUUUAUAUCUCCACCUGUGCACCUUUUGUAGACCUGGAUAUCUCUCUGAGUGUUAGCCACUCAGCUUACAUUUCCAGGCCUAUGUUUCUUCAUAUACCCCAAUGUAUGUCAUAGGAUGUAAUCAAUGGGCCUUUGUGCCUAUAAAUCUAUACAACUUUCAGCAACGGAUCUCUUGGCUCUCGCAUCGAUGAAGAACGCAGCGAAAUGCGAUAAGUAAUGUGAAUUGCAGAAUUCAGUGAAUCAUCGAAUCUUUGAACGCACCUUGCGCUCCUUGGUAUUCCGAGGAGCAUGCCUGUUUGAGUGUCAUUAAUAUAUCAACCUCUUCAUCUUUUGUUUGUCGAGUGUUGGAUGUGGGGGUUUUUUUUUGCUGGUCUUCUAAAAGGUCAGCUCCCCUGAAAUGUAUUAGCGGAACCUUCUGUGGACCGUUCAUUGGUGUGAUAACUAUCUACGCUAUUGACGCGAAGCAGUUCAGCUUCUAACAGUCCAUUGACUUGGACAAAUUUUCAUUAAUGUGACCUCAAAUCAGGUAGGACUACCCGCUGAACUUAAGCAUAUCAAUAAGCGGAGGAAAAGAAACUAACAAGGAUUCCCCUAGUAACUGCGAGUGAAGCGGGAAAAGCUCAAAUUUAAAAUCUGUCAGUCUUUGGCUGUCCGAAUUGUAAUCUAGAGAAGCGUUAUCCGCGCUGGACCGUGUACAAGUCUCCUGGAAUGGAGCGUCAUAGAGGGUGAGAAUCCCGUCUUUGACACGGACUGCCAGGGCUUUGUGAUGCGCUCUCAAAGAGUCGAGUUGUUUGGGAAUGCAGCUCAAAAUGGGUGGUAAAUUCCAUCUAAAGCUAAAUAUUGGCGAGAGACCGAUAGCGAACAAGUACCGUGAGGGAAAGAUGAAAAGAACUUUGGAAAGAGAGUUAAACAGUACGUGAAAUUGCUGAAAGGGAAACGCUUGAAGUCAGUCGCGUUGUCCAGGGAUCAACCUUGCUUUUGCUUGGUGUACUUUCUGGUUGACGGGUCAGCAUCAAUUUUGACUGUUGGAAAAAAGUCAGGGGAAUGUGGCAUCUUUGGAUGUGUUAUAGCCCUUGGCUGCAUACAAUAGUUGGGAUUGAGGAACUCAGCACGCCGCAAGGCCGAGUAAUUUUACUACGUACGUGCUUAGGAUGCUGGCAUAAUGGCUUUAAUCGACCCGUCUUG
RNAcentral lists this ribosomal RNA (1233 nucleotides) under Phlegmacium aquilanum. Its description in RNAcentral is "eukaryotic LSU rRNA". The stretch from base 561 to 1233 matches the Rfam family "Eukaryotic large subunit ribosomal RNA", at positions 1 to 656 of the family's 3401-position model. The record is from RNAcentral. Lineage: Eukaryota; Fungi; Basidiomycota; Agaricomycetes; Agaricales; Cortinariaceae.